Hippocampus zosterae (dwarf seahorse) is the source of this 1884-nucleotide long non-coding RNA. RefSeq lists it as uncharacterized. NCBI's taxonomy places the organism in Eukaryota, Metazoa, Chordata, Actinopteri, Syngnathiformes, Syngnathidae. The transcript has 3 exons. The record is from RefSeq and is a predicted model, not a curated record.
UUUUUCUUCUACUUCCUGUUUAGUUUAUACUGCAAGCAAACUUAUUUGCCUUCUUCCAGAAGUCACAAGUGAGGCGAGGAGCUCUUGCAAGAAACUUGAAAGCAUUUUGCGGCCCUGCCGACAAGUGAUGUGGGUGUCAUUCCAUCAGUGCAGCCCAAACUUCUCCCUCUAAUGUUCACGAGCUCGCCGAUUAUCCCGGGGGACACAGCCAGCGGGCAGCUGCUUUCACUUGCUACGCUAAGCUAACCUAAGUUAAGCAAUCGCAUUAGAAGACUGAAAAAAAAACGUGAAGCCAUGUUCCAAAUUUUUAUGGGACUUCAAAAUUGUUUGUCAAGUGAGGACACACAUUGACGUGCCUUUUUUUUUUUUUUUUUUUUUUUUAAUGCUGCUUGCGACGUCUGUUGUGCUUUUGUUUGUGCGCUAACAAGCUGCUGUCAUGUUUUUGUUUUACGGCACACUUCCCCUCUGUUUCUCCUUUGCGGCAAAUAACUCGCAGCCCGCCAAAUGUUUAGUACUGAGGAGAUGAUUCACCGGCGGCCUGACUCACUCAGCACCUCCGAAUCGCCAAAGAAUUUAUUGAAAAAUAUUAUAAGCACACCACGGCUUUUAUGUUUGGAGUGGAAGUCAGAAAAUGGCUUCUUUUUUUUUUUUUCAUGAAUGACUUCACAAAUGCGUUGCAGGUUGAAAAAUCAUAAGCCCCGCCGUCCACCCUCUACUCCCCCCACCCCCACCCCUUUCCUCCUCCGCUUCUUUAGGACUCUUUCGGGAAACGUAGUCGAUGAUUCAGGAUUAAAAAAACAAAACACACACACACACACACGCACAAACGUAUGACACACGCUUGAUCUUGGCCUUCUCUGGUUUUGAUUUGUAGCUAUUCAGGAGCCCCCCCCCCCCCACCCCCCUUUGCCCAUUUAAGCCCACCCUCAAUGGCUUCCAGCUGGAUGUUAUCCUGGGUGAGGGGGAGGAGGAGGAGGAGGAGGAGACCUUGGCUGGCAGCCAGCCUCAACUUGCUCAACCCCCCCUCGCCCCUCCCCCCACCACCACAUCGUGCCCCACCCCCGUCGUUAUUUGUUUAAUUGGUGGAAAAAGCCAUAAAGUUGAAAUGUUUAAUUUGUGGCUGAUGUCCAGUGUCUUUUAAUGUCUUGCACGAGGUUAGGAGGUGAAGAAAGCAAGCGCUCCCAAAAGACGCUGACGAAGCCAAAACGAGCCGUCCCGAAAUACCCUCAUGUUUCCUCACCGAUUUCCUCAAAUAUUUCCUCGUUCCGCUCGUAGAUGCUGCGCCCUCACUUUUCACCCACUAUCUAAAUAGCCCGGUUGAAAUCGGCUAGUUCUGGGAAGCAUUGAUUUGUCAUGAAAAAAAACAAAAACAAAAAAAAAACGCUAAAAAAAUUAAGUACCAACUAACCAACCCCCCUCCCCCCCAAAAAAACAUUUUUCUCCACUUCCACUGUAAAAAGCAUUUUGGGCCAGGGGUCGCCCACCUUUUUUCAAAGUUAGUGCUACUUCUUGGGUAAUGAAUAAAAAGCAAAGGACAACCAGUUACCAAUCACAGAGUUGGCUUGGUGAGCUACUUUUAGAACAGACUGGCAGGCUCCUCAUGCCGUCCUUGGGGGCUCACUGGCACCCCGUGGCUGAAAAAAGCAUUGAAGACGAAAAAAAUGCAACAAUACAAGUAUAUUAGAAAAAAAAACAACACAAGGCCAAAAUAUUAGCACAUAAUUUAGACAUCAAUCCCAUAAUAUUUUAAAAUGAUACAAAUUAUUUUCCUGCAAACUUUAGAAAUGUGACAUCAUGUCCUUUUAUGGUAAACGUUUGAUCGAUUCUGACAGUUCCGCUAAUAUAAUACUAUUUUGGGGAAAUAAGGUGUAACCCCCUGACCCC